Molecule: long non-coding RNA, 11694 nt
Filed under: Oreochromis niloticus (Nile tilapia)
Lineage: Eukaryota; Metazoa; Chordata; Actinopteri; Cichliformes; Cichlidae
Description: lncRNA (ENSONIG00000014013.2)
Source: RNAcentral
AUGUGUGGAUGGUGGAUAUUUGUUGGCGCUCUGGCUGGGAUCCUCACCGUCCCCCGUGGGAUUCACGGAGCUUGUGUCUAUGAGGGAUCGCUGCAUGCGAACAACACGUCAUGGAGGCCGCAGUCCUGUCAGGAGUGUACCUGCUAUGGUGAUGUGGCCAUCUGUGGGCCCACCCACUGUCCCAACCCCCACUGUGACCUGCAGAGGGGCGAGCAUUUGAGGAUCCCUGCCAACAAGUGCUGUCCAGAGUGCGCCUCCUCAUCCCAGGGCUCCUGCCAGUAUGAAGGAGUCAUCUAUGGACAUGACAGUCAGUGGAGUCCCUCGCCUUGUUCAGUGUGUACUUGCUCCGGAGGGAGCGUAUCCUGCACCACUCACCCCUGCCCGCAUCUCACCUGUCCCGGGGAUCAAAGCCUGUUCACCCCAGCCGGGGAGUGUUGCCCCAAGUGUGGCAGCAAUGGAGAGUCUUGCUCUUGGCAGGGGAUCGUUUACAGGGAUGGAGAGGAGUGGAAGCCCAGCCUCUGUUCCAGAUGUGUCUGCAGCAAUGGAGAGGUCCAGUGUUCAGUAGCAGAGUGUCAGCAAGUGGCCUGCAAACCGCACGAGAACUUGGUGAUCCAGCCAGGAGAGUGCUGUCCCCAGUGUGUGUCCAACCCUUGUCUGUCAGCUGGAAAACAGUACCAGCACGGUGAGCAGUGGCAGAAGAACACCUGCACCACGUGCGUGUGUGACCGGGGUCAAUCUAAAUGCCACACUAAAACCUGCCCACCCAUAACCUGCGACAAGGGUCAGACCAAAGUGAAGCGUGCCGGGCAGUGCUGUGAUGAAUGCGCUGCUGCUAAGGGAAGCUGCCAGUACCAGGGCGCAGUGCGUUACCAUGGAGACAUGUGGAACAGCACUGGCUGCGAGUUCUGUACCUGCAGCCGGGGUCAGGUCCUCUGUCAGAGGGCCGAGUGUGGACGUGUCGAAUGCCCGCAGAACCUUGCUCGAUGGAGUGAUGGCAGUUGUCGUGAGUGUGAAUGCCACGAUGCCCAGGUGACUUGUUAUCUGAGAUCCUGCCGUACCUGCCCUCUGGGCACCCUGGCUGUCAUUCAGGACGGCCAAUGUUGCCCCGAGUGUCACCAAGCCCAGUGCCACACAGACUGCCUGUCGUGCUCGGGAACGCCUGAUCACUGUGACAGCUGCAGGGAGCCACAGGCCUUACUUCAUCUUGGCCGCUGCCUGUCUGUCUGUCCAGUGGGCUUCUACGCUGAAGGACGAGUAUGUGCAGCCUGCCAAUCAUCCUGUGCCACCUGUUCCAGCAGGUGGGAUUGUCAGUCCUGCGGCUCCAGGCUGCCCCUGCUGAACCCCGAUAGGAGUCAGUGCCUGGCUUCCUGUCCACCUGGUUCCUAUCAGCACGACCCAACACACUGUCGCUACUGUCACGAGUCGUGCUCGGAGUGCCGUGGGCCGAGUCAGCAGGAGUGCGUGUCGUGCUCAGACCCAGCCGCCUUGCUGAAAGACGGGGCGUGCGUCCUUGACUGUGGCACAGGUUUCUACAGUCAAGAAGGCGUCUCCUGCCACAGCUCCUGCGCCUCCUGCUGGGGUCCCUCGGUAUCCCAGUGCACCUUGUGUCCAGGUGCACUCCUUCUCCACCAGGGACAGUGUGUGGAGGCCUGUGGGGAGGGACUGUAUGCUCAGGACUACACCUGCCACAGUGAGAGUCUAAAUACAUUAAUAAAGUGUCCUGUUAAUACAACUUCUCUUCCUUGUUCCCAGAACUGUCAUCCCUCCUGCCGUUCUUGUGUGGGACCCCUGGCCUCAGACUGCCUCCGCUGCCUCAAACCGGAGGAAGCUCUUCUUCCGCAAUCGAGUCACCUUCAGCACAGCGUCUGCACAGCUGGGUGUCCCACGCGCAGCUUCCUGGAUGACAUGCAGACAUGCAGAGAGUGUCAUCCCUCCUGUUGGCAGUGUGCUGGGCCAUCUGCAGACAACUGUACGUCCUGUCCCUCCCCGUCCAGCCUGUACGAGGGCCGCUGUGUCCCCACAUGCCCACAAGGCUUCUUUAUUCAGGACAACCAAUCGUGCCAUCCCUCCUGCCAGACCUGCUCCGGUCCCUCCCAGAGUGGCCACUGCAGGGCAAACUGCCAAGAGGGGCAUUUCCUUAAUGCUAUCUCUGGAGAGUGCCUCAAGUGCAGCUCGGACUGCCAGCGCUGCACAGCAGACCUCCAGACGGGCGUCGGCAGCAUUUGUCUGUGGUGCAAAGCGCCAAGAAUGUGGCUGCUGGGCGAUCACUGUGUCUCUCACUGUCCUCUGGGUCAUUAUGGCUGGCAUGGAGCCUGCAUCAGAUGCCAUCCAUCAUGCGAGGCCUGCAGUGGGGCUGGGCUGCUCUCUUGUACUUCCUGCCCUGCCAACAGCGUUCUCUUGCCAUCUGGACUUUGUGCCCCCAAAUGUCCCCUUGGAUACUAUAACAAUGGCCAAAGGAUCUGCCAGGUAUGUGACAGCCAGUGCCUGACGUGCGAUAUGCCCGGGGUUUGUACGUCCUGCCGUGACCCGGCCAAGGUGCUGCUGUUCGGAGAAUGCCAGUACGACAGCUGCGCCCAUCAGUACUACCUCAACACCACGACCCGCACCUGCAGAGAGUGUGACUGGAGCUGCAACGCCUGUAAAGGCCCCCUGAGGACUGACUGCCUGCAGUGCAUGGAGGGCUACGUGUUGCAGGGGGGAGUGUGCACGCAGGGGUGCUCCUUUGGCUCCUAUCGAGACGGAGACAGAUGCCUUGGCUGUGAUGAUCACUGCUUGGACUGUCAAGGUCCUGGACAGUGCCAGGAAUGCCAGCCUCCCUACGCCACGCUGCACGGCCAGUGUGUGCUCGAAUGUGGCAGAAACUACUUCCUGGAUGCAUCUUCCAAAGCUUGCACAUCUUGCUCGUCCGACUGCGUGCUCUGUGACGGGAUCGGACUCUGCAGAGCUUGUCGUAAUCAGACCUACCUCAUGGAAGGAUACUGCACUCCCGACUGUGGACAUGGAUAUUACGCAGACCAGAAGACCAGGACCUGUCACAUGAACGCCCACUCGCCUGCCCUCCAUGUCAACGGGUCCCUGCUGGUUCCCUUUGAUGGUUUUGCCCCGCUGCUCCCCACCCUGCUGCAGGUGAAAGACCCAGACAGUCCGUCUGAGCAGCUGAUCUUUCAGCUUGUUCAGAAGCCGAGUAACGGACGGCUGGUCCUGUUCAGAGGGGAGGAAGGUGAAGAGACGGGAGGCCGAGAAAUAAAGAAGGACGACACGUUCACGUGGGCAGAGCUGAGACACGGACAGGUCCGAUUCCGAUACCAGAAAGACAAAGACAGCGGUGAGUUCACCUUGCGUGUUGCUGAUCCCCAGCUGUUUUCCCAACCGAAAACAAUUCAAGUCCGAGCCGUGUCCAUGCAGGUAACCCCGAGAGUCGUGACCCUCUCCCCUCUUACCGUGGAGGGCCGUGGCAGCCUGGCAACCAUCACCAAGUCAGUCCUGCAGGUCGACGACCCUGACAACGCAGCCGAUGUCCUGGUCAUGGUACUUGAGCUGCCCCGCCAUGGCCGGCUGACCCGUCUCCACAGCGACCGCGCUCUCAGCCGAUUCAAGCUGGAGGAGCUGUCACGGGAACAGAUUCAAUACAUCCACGACGGUUCGGAGGGGGCAGAGGACGGGGCGGUGCUGCAGAUCAACGACGGCCACAGCUACAAGAAUAUUCUGCUCCGAGUCCAAAUACACCACAAGCCUGGAGACUCUCCUCACAUGUUGUCCAUUCCAGUGACCUGGGUGAAAGAGGGAGGCAUGGUGCGACUGGAUAAAAAGUACCUGCAGACAGAUUUCAAAGGAGUCAGCACUGAUAACAUUGUCUACAGCAUCCUCCCCUCAGAGGGGCAACCCAAAUAUGGUGAGGUGUUGCUGGUGUCCAUGCCGGCUGAUGGCCCCUCAGAGGGUUGGCUUCCCUCGCUAACAGACGACCGCAGCUUUACAGCAACGACUUCCUUCACGCAGCAAGACGUGAAUGACGGUGCAGUCUGGUACCGCCACUUUGGCACCGGCAGCAGCGGUGACUCCUUCCUGUUCCAGGUUUCCACAGAGGCAGAACCAGUCGUUCAGAGCGAUGCUCAGACCUUCACCAUAGGAGUCAUGCCUCAGAUCCCAGGAUUCCCACAGCUGGCCCCCGACUGCGACCUACAGAUCACGGCUCUGGAGGAUCAGGUGACAGAGAUAACGCCUUCAGCGCUGUCCUUCGUCGACUCUGAGACUCCCAGCGAGAAGCUCAUCUACAGUAUCACCAAACCACUACCAUCGGGACAAGGGACCAUCGAGCACCGUGACAGGCCGCACACACACGUGCAACAUUUCACUCAGGCUGAUGUGAAUAACGGCAAGAUCAUCUACAGACCGCCGCAGGCUCCGUCACACCUCCAGGAGCUCUACCAGUACUCCUUCACUGGCCUGCCGGAGUCGCUGAGCGUUUAUUUCACAGUGUCAGAUGGCGAGCACACCACGCCUGAGCUGGACUUUGCUGUCCUGCUGCUGACAAACCACCAGCAGCCGCCGGUGUUUCAGGUUCUGGACCCGCUGCUGGAGGUCAGCCUCGGAGGACAAGCUGCCAUCGGCGGUCAGCAGCUGGCUGUGAGCGACGUUGACACGGCUCCAGAUGACCUGGAGUUCGAGGUGGUAGAAGCUCCCGUCCAUGGAGAGCUGAUAAAGACUGACGGCAACACAAAAAUUCGCAUGACUAAUGGUGACACCUUCACUUUCAGCGACGUCACCCGCAAUGUCCUGCUCUACCGUCACUCCGGGCUCUCCACCCAAGAUGAUGCCAUCACCUUCUCAGUUAGCGACGGUAUCUCCAUGGCUGCCACGGUAGUGCAGGUGGUGGUUUUGGGCGCUGGAGGCAGCGGGCCACAGCAGGACCCCAUCGCCACUCUCUCGCUGGAAGUGGGCGAGAAAAGCAGCACUGUCAUCAGACGCUCACACCUGGCUUACACGGAUGACACAUCCCCAGAUGACCAGAUUCGAGUCCAGCUGGUGUCUGUGCCAAUGUACGGCAUCCUGACCAGGAGCCAGUCCCAGCAGGAGCACCAGGAGCUGAGGGAGUACUCCUCCUUCACAAUGGAGGACAUCAACAAGCACAGGAUCAGGUACAUCACUUCGAUAGAGACGGGAAGUCAGCCAGUGACUGAUAUCUUCCACUUUGUUGUUUACGAUGGAGACAACAAUCGCCUUGACAACCAGAUAUGCACCAUCACCAUCACCUCCACACCAAGACAGCCGCCGGUGGUCACUGUCCGAGGCAGCAUCAAGGUCGAGGAAGGUGGUCGUGUGCAGCUGUCUACCAAUGACAUCACAGUGUCAGAUGUGGACACGCCCCCGAAGGAGCUGCUGAUUUGGCUCAUCAGCCCUCCUAAAUAUGGUUUUAUUGAGAACACCAGGAGAGGCAGCUCCAUUGGCGGCUCACAUGUCGUCACCCCUGAUGUGCCGUUCUCUGUGGAGGACCUUACAUCCGGCCAUAUCUCUUACGUCCAGGAGAGCCAGCUUAAACCUCAAACCAAGCAGGACAUCUUCAGCGUCUACAUCAGUGACGGGCUCAGCCAGACGGAAGCUUUCAGUGUGGAAAUUGACAUCCAGCAGAGUAAAGAGGACAAAGAGCCGGUGGUGUCCGUCAGCAGCAUCCAUAUAGAGGAAAACUCUGGAGUUGUCAUCACCAACUCGUCCCUCAGCGUCCACGAUCAGGACACACCAGAGAACGAGAUCCUCUUCACUAUUAUCAGAAUUCCCAGCUAUGGCAAGCUCCGCAGGCGGCAGUUCUACUCCCAGCCACUGGAGAACGGUCGCGUCCUAACGCAGGGCUCCACCUUCACCUAUCAGGAUGUGGUGGAUCAGCUGCUGGUUUACACGCCUGAAACUGUCAGCGGGGGAGCAGACGAGAUGGCCUUCACCCUCACCGAUGGCAUUCACACCCACACGGGCCGCCUGGAGUUCACGAUGGACGUCACGAGGAGCGAGGGACCUCGAAUGACCGUCAACAGAGGACUGCAGCUUCCAGCAGGGUCAUCAUCUAAGAUCACAGAGCAGAAUCUGAAAGGUACUGACAUCGACUCAGACCACCUGAAGCUCCGGUACAUCUUGACCAAAGACCCCCCGGUCGGCAAGCUGCAGCUCAACAGGAGCAGCCGAGUGGAGCGAGUUUCUGUGAAAGGUCCCGUUCAGAGCUUCACUCAGGAGGACGUCAACAAAGGCUUGCUGCACUACAGCCACGAGAAGGGGGAGAAAGGAGGCAGCCUGUCGUUCAAGUUCAACCUGGUCGAUCCGGAGGGCAACAAACUGAUCGACCAGUCCUUCUUCAUCAGUGUGCUUGAGGACCAUCUCCCUCCAUCUGUAGUGGUAAACAAAGGCCUGGUGCUUGAUGAAAACUCAGUGAAGAAGCUGACCACGCUGCAGCUGUCAGCCAGCGACCAGGACAGCGAGCCGGGCGAGCUCAUCUACCGUGUCACCAAACAGACGAGCCUGGGGCACCUCGAGCAUGCUGCCAGUCCAGGCACCAGGAUCAGCACCUUCACGCAGGCUGACCUGGCAUCACGCAGCAUCCAGUACGUCCACACCAGUGAAGAAGAGAAACAUGCUGACCAGUUCUCCUUCACCGUGUCCGACGGGACAAAUGAGGUUGCCCAGACUUUCUACAUCACCAUCAAGCCUGUGGACGACUCCCUGCCUCUUCUUCAGGUCCCUGGCAUGAGGGUGCAGGAGGGUGUGAGAAAGACCAUCACUGAGUUUGAGCUGAAAGCCACCGAUGCGGACACAGAGGCGGAGUCUAUCGUCUUCAGCGUCGUCCAGGCUCCUCGACACGGCACCAUCGAGCGCACCAUCAACGGCCAACACUACCGACAGACCAGCAGCUUCACCAUGGACGACAUCUACCAGAACCGCAUCAGCUACAACCACGACGGCUCCAACUCGCUCAAAGACCGCUUCACCUUUACCGUGACCGACAGCACCAACUUGCUCUUCAUGGUGGAGGAUGACGGCAAAGAGAUAGUGACAGCCGCUCCCCAGAAGUUCAAGAUAGAUAUCCUGCCAGUUGAUGAUGGAACGCCGUUAAUUUUCACCAACCUGGGACUGCAGUGGCUGGAGUACAUGGAUAACAAGGCCACCAAUCUGAUCACCAAGAAGGAGCUGCUGACCAUGGACCCAGACACAGAUGAUGGACAGCUGGUUUAUGAAAUCACCACAGAGCCAAAGCACGGCUUCCUGGAGAGCAAGCUGAAACCUGGGAACCCCAUUACCGCAUUCACACAAGCCGAUAUCAAUCUGGGUCUGAUCCGGUACGUGCUUCAUCAGGAGAACGUCCAGGAAACCAUGGACAACUUCAAGUUCCUGGUCAAAGACAGCAAGCCAAAUGUGGUCAGUGACAAUGUCUUCCACAUCCAGUGGUCCCUCAUCAGCUUUGAGCACAAAAGCUACAAUGUGAGUGAGAAGGCCGGCACAGUGGCGGUGACCGUGAAGCGAACCGGUAAUCUCAACCAGUACGCCAUCGUGCUCUGCCGCACUGAACAGGGCAGCGCCACCUCCACGAGCAGCGUCGGAUCCCGACCCGGACAGCAGGACUAUGUGGAAUACGCUGGGCAGGUGCAGUUUGAUGAGCGUGAGGACACAAAGGUGUGCACUAUAGUCAUUAACGACGACAAGGUGUUUGAGGGGAUCGAGAGCUUCCAUGUGGAGCUCAGCAUGCCCGUGUAUGCGCUGCUGGGUGGAAACACGCGCGCUGUCGUCAACAUCAACGACACAGAAGACGAACCCACUUUGCAGUUUGACAAGAAGAUUUACCACGUCAAUGAAAGCUCAGGCUUAAUCCAGGCUCCCAUUGAAAGGAAAGGUGAUACCUCCAGCACAGUCUCUGCUCUCUGCUACACCGUAGCCAAGUUAGCGCAGGGCAGCAGCCUCCACGCUCUGGAGUCCGGCUCUGACUACAAGAGCCGCGGCAUGACCACCGACAACCGAGUGAUCUUCGGUCCUGGAGUCAGCAUGUCCACCUGUGAUGUUAAGCUCAUCGAUGACAGCGAGUACGAACUGUCCGAGGAGUUCGAGCUGGUGCUCUCAGACGCCUCCGAUAAUGCACGCAUGGGCGACGUGUCGGUGGCCAAGGUCAUUAUCGACGGACCCAACGAUGCAUCGACUGUUUCUCUUGGAAACGCCACGUUUACCUUCAGUGAAGAUGCUGGCACAAUUGAAAUACCAGUGCUGCGUCAUGGCAGCGACCUGUCCUCGCUGACCUCUGUGUGGUGCGCAACCCGACCUUCAGACCCUCCGUCAGCCAGCCCCGGGGUCGACUACAUUCCCAGCUCCAAGAAAGUGGAAUUCAAACCUGGAAAAACUGACGAGACAUGCAGUUUAACCAUCAUGGAUGACAUCCAGAACCCGUCCAUCGAGGGGUCUGAGUCCUUCGUGGUGUUCCUCAGUUCUCCUCAGGGUGCUGUCCUUCAAGAGCCCUACGAAGCCAACGUCAUCAUCACGGACACGUUUCAGGACAUUCCUAACAUGCAGUUUGAGAAGAGCUCCUACACCGUGAAGGAGAAAGAUAACCUUCUCCACAUCCCCAUCAUCCGGACCGGCGACCUCUCCUUCAAGUCAUCUGUGCGCUGUUUCACCCGGACCAUGUCCGCCAUGGUGAUGGACGACUUUGAGGAGAGAAGGAAUGCAGAUGAGUCGCGCAUCACUUUCCUCAAAGGAGAGAAGGUGAAGAACUGCACAGUUCACAUCACUGACGACUCAGUGUUCGAGCCUGAGGAGGAGUUUCAGGUGCAUCUCGGUACACCGCUCAGUGACCACUGGAGCGGCGCCAUGGUGGGAGCUAACGAUAUUGUCACUGUAACCAUCACCAACGAUGAAGAUGCUCCCACCAUUGAGUUCGAGCAGGCGUCCUAUCAGGUGAGAGAGCCUCCCGGUCCAGAUGGCAUCGAAGUGCUCAACAUCAAAGUGAUCCGCAGAGGAGAUCUGGACCGAACGUCCAAGAUCCGUUGCAGCACCCGGGAUGGAUCGGCCCAAUCUGGAGUCGACUACAAUCCCAAGAGUCGAGUGCUUAAGUUCACCCCGGGCAUGGACCACAUCCUCUUUAAAGUGGAGAUUUUGUCCAAUGAGGACAGAGAGUGGCACGAGUCCUUCUCAUUGGUCCUUGGGCCUGAUGACCCGGUGGAGGCAGUGCUUGGGGAGAUCACAAUGGCCACAGUGACCAUUCUGGAUCAGGAGGCGGCAGGAAGUCUCAUCCUACCUGCCCCACCUAUUGUGGUCUCUCUCGCUGACUACGAUCAUGUCCAGGAGGUGAUCAAAGAGGGCAGCAAGAAGACUCCCUCUCCAGGUUACCCUCUGGUGUGUGUCACCCCCUGUGACCCUCACUACCCCAAGUACUCUGUGAUGAAGGAGCGCUGUGAGGAGGCGGGAAUCAACCAGACCCAAGUUCACUUCUCGUGGGAAGUGGCGGCUCCCACUGACACCAGUGGCGCCCGAUCCCCCUUUGAGACGGUCACCGAUACAACCCCAUAUACUAGCGUCAACCAUAUGGUUCUGGACAGCAUUUAUUUCAGCCGACGCUUCCACGUUCGCUGCGUGGCUCAGGCCAGAGACAAAGCUGGACACCUGGGAACACCGCUGAGGAGCAACAUCGCCACCAUCGGCACAGAGGGCUCCAUCUGCCACACACCUGUCACCACGGGAACCGCCAGAGGCUUCCAGGCUCAGUCCUUCAUCGCCACACUCAAAUACUUAGACGUCAAGCACAAAGAGCACCCCAACCGGAUCCACAUCUCAGUCCAGAUCCCCCAUCAGGAUGGAAUGCUCCCCCUGGUUUCCACCAUGCCGCUGCACAACCUUCACUUCCUGCUGUCAGAGUCGAUCUACAGGCAGCAGCACGUCUGCUCCAAUCUGGUCACCCUCAAAGACCUUCAGGGGAUCGCCGAGUCAGGCUUCCUCGAUGAUGUAUCGUAUGACAGCAUCUCUCUGGGGCCAGGCUACGACCGCCCCUACCAGUUCAACCCCAACGUCCGCGAGGGCAAGAGCCUCCAGCUCUAUAAGCACCUCAACCUCAAGAGCUGCAUCUGGACCUUCGACGCCUACUACGACAUGACAGAACUCAUCGACGUGUGCGGGGGCUCAGUCACCGCGGAUUUCCAGGUUCGGGACUCUGCUCAGUCCUUCCUGACGGUGCAGGUUCCUCUCUAUGUCUCCUACAUCUACGUCACAGCACCGAGAGGCUGGGCCUCUCUGGAGCACCACACUGAGAUGGAGUUCUCUUUCUUCUAUGACACCGUGCUCUGGAGGACAGGUAUCCAGACUGACAGCGUCCUCUCAGCCAGACUGCAGAUCAUCAGGAUCUAUAUCAGGGAAGACGGUCGGCUGGUAAUUGAGUUUAAAACGCACGCCAAAUUCAGAGGUCAGUUUGUGCUUGAGCACCACACCCUGCCGGGCCACAAGUCCCGCCUCAUGGCCCCCGACCACCUCGGAGGCAUCGAGUUUGACAUCCAGCUGCUGUGGAGCGCUCAAACCUUUGACUCACCGUACCAGCUGUGGAGGGCUACCAGCUCCUACAGCAGGAAGGACUAUUCUGGAGAGUACACCGUCUUCUUGGUCCCCUGCACUGUUCAGCCAACUCAGCCGUGGAUUGAUCCCGGUGACAAACAGCUGUCCUGCACAGCUCACGCUCCAGAGAAGUUUCUGGUGCCGAUUGCCUUCCAACAAACCAACAGGCCUGUUCCUGUGGUUUACUCGCUCAACACGGAGUUCCAGCUGUGCAACAAUGAGAAGGUGUUCAUGAUGGACCCGGCUACUGCUGAUGUGUCCAUGGCUGAGAUGGAUUACAAGGGAGCGUUCUCCAUGGGUCAGACUCUGUACGGCAGGGUUUUGUGGAACCCUGAGCAGAACCUGAACGCAGCCUACAAACUGCAGCUGGAGAAGGUUUACCUGUGCACUGGCAGGGACGGAUACGUUCCCUUCUUCGACCCCACGGGGACUCUGUACAACGAGGGGCCGCAGUACGGCUGCAUUCAACCCAACAAACACCUCAAACAUCGCUUCCUGCUGCUGGAUCGUAAACAGCCCGAUGUCUGUGACAAAUUUUUCCACGACGUUCCUUUCGAGGCUCACUUUGCCUCAGACAUCCCGGAGCUGCAGUCCAUGACGGCCAUGCCAGGUGUUGACGGCUUCACGAUGAAGGUUGAUGCGCUCUACAAGGUGGAGGCGGGGCACCAGUGGUACCUGCAGGUAAUUUAUGUGAUUGGCCCCGAGUCGCGGUCCAACCCCAGGAUUCAGCGCUCUGUGACCUAUCAGCUCAGCCGUUCUAAACGCGACCUGGUGGAUCGCAGCGGCCGGCUGACGCUUGACGAGUCGCUCAUCUACGACAACGAGGGAGAUCAAAUAAAGAACGGCACCAACAUGAAGUCGCUCUACCUGGAAGCCGGGCCCUCCCCCACCUUUAACGCCCACGUGGGCAGCUCCAAGGAACCAAAAAUCUAUGAGGAGUAUCCGCUCAACACCAAAGUGGAGGUGUGCAUGGACAAGUGUGUGGAGAAGAACUUCGGCACCAAGCACUGCACGGUGAGAAACAUCAACGUCCUGAACCGCAACCAGGAGGCCAACAGCAAGGCCAAGGUCAAACAGGUCAACCUGGAGGUCAAACUCCACAACAACCUCAACGACGGCACUGAGGUCUGA